CUGCUCAUUUCCUUUACCCGUGUCUUUCCCCUGACUUUCUAGACUACCACAGUCCUGGGAAUGGGACACAUUGCUGAUUUGCCUCUGCAUUCUGCUCAGCGCUGGGCCAGUGCCUGCCAUGAGUGGGUUCCUGCUUGGUUUCUGAGGCGUACUAAAGAAGCCUUCACAACCGGCUGACUUGCUCUGACGGGAAUUUUGCUGGCUGGAGCGGGUGAUGUAGGGUGACUUCUCAGCAGGGUAUGAAUUUUCAAUACUAUGGUAAGAGCAGCAUGAUUGGAAGAGAGGCAUAUUUCACUCAAAUACACUCUGUUAUCUUUGUUUUACAUUUAAAUGAAACAUUUGGGCCUGCAUGAAAUUUGGAUGACACAUUAAGGGCAAUUUCCGCAGCGUGAUUCCUGUUGCUGAUUAAAGACUCAAGGCCUCCUGGAGUACACUGUUUGGGUUACUGAUUGGCCAAGAGCUGUUUCCCCACCGCGAGUAAGUUCCAUUUUCCCUGGGAGAACUGAAGAGCAGGGCUUUUCAGGCACAGCCAAGGAGAACGCUCUCUUCCAGAAGUCCAAGCCCCUGAGUAUAGCCCCUGAGCUCUCCUCCUAGCUACACACGAAACAAAGAAACGUCAGCUACACUGUGUAGUGAAGAAUUAACCUUCUGCAAAAGAGGUCUGGCCUUUAUCCUCAGCUUCUGGUGAAUAAUCUUUCUUUAGUGUCUUUCUUUGCCUGGGGGCUCAUUGUUCACAGUGGAUAGUCAACAAAAUUCAGGGUUGGAACUGACCACUUCCAUAGAGCCUUUGGAUUGGGGCUGUCCUCCCCAGAAAAACCAACCGUGUGACUUUGGGCAGAGAUUUUGAGUCUCCAGUGUCCGUGGCCUCGAGACUGAGAUCAUGCCUAUGUAAUGGAACACCAAUGUAAACUAACCACUGAGUCUUCAGUGAAUUUCCUUGAUUAGCAAUACUCUGUGCAUAUUGUCCAACAUCAAUGCCAGACAUAAAUAUCACAAGGUGUCCUGACUCUACCAAGAAAAGACAACUGAAGCUCUGCAUUUGAAAACUACCUGGACUCUGCCCCAUGUGUCUCUACCUUUGACUGA
This 1086-nucleotide long non-coding RNA is filed under the name Marmota monax (woodchuck). The record is from RNAcentral. Lineage: Eukaryota; Metazoa; Chordata; Mammalia; Rodentia; Sciuridae.